RNAcentral lists this ribosomal RNA (506 nucleotides) under Disonycha sp. BMNH#704454. RNAcentral's name for it is "partial 16S ribosomal RNA". The stretch from base 380 to 506 matches the Rfam family "Archaeal large subunit ribosomal RNA", at positions 2542 to 2669 of the family's 2987-position model. The record is from RNAcentral. Lineage: Eukaryota; Metazoa; Arthropoda; Insecta; Coleoptera; Chrysomelidae.
GUCUUUUUGUUUAAAAUCUAAAGUCUGGCCUGCUCAAUGAAUUUUUAAAUAGCCGCAGUAUUUUGACUGUGCUAAGGUAGCAUAAUCAUUAGUUUUUUAAUUGAAAACUGGAAUGAAUGGUUGGAUGAAAAAAUAACUGUCUUUAAUUUAAUAAUUAAAAUUUUAUUUUUAAGUUCAAAAGCUUAAAUGUUUUUUAAAGACGAGAAGACCCUAUAGAAUUUUAUAUAUAAAUUAAUUUUAUAAUUUAGAAUUUAAUUUUAAGUUUAAUUUUAUAUUUAAUUGGGGUGAUUAAAAAAUUUAAUUAACUUUUUUUUUAUUUUUAUAUAAAUUAAUAAUUAUUUGAUCCAAAAUUUUUGAUUAUAAGAUAAAUUACCUUAGGGAUAACAGCGUAAUUUUAUUGGAAAGUUCUUAUUGAUAAUAAAGUUUGCGACCUCGAUGUUGGAUUAAAAUUAAUAAUUGGUGCAGAAGCUAAUUUAUUAAGUCUGUUCGACUUUUAAAAUUUUACA